Molecule: long non-coding RNA, 163 nt
Organism: Amblyraja radiata (thorny skate)
Lineage: Eukaryota; Metazoa; Chordata; Chondrichthyes; Rajiformes; Rajidae
Exons: 3
Source: RefSeq, a predicted model, not a curated record
GAGGCAGUUGAGGCUGGGACUAUCUCAACGUUUAAGAAACAGUUAGACAGGAAAAUGGAUAGGACAGGUUUGGAGGGAUAUGGACCAAACACGGCAGGUGGGACUGGAGUAGCUGGGGCAAGUUCGGCCUGUGUAGGGAAGUUGGGCCGAUGGGCCUGUUUCC